This 911-nucleotide ribosomal RNA is filed under the name uncultured bacterium. Its description in RNAcentral is "bacterial SSU rRNA". It matches the Rfam family "Bacterial small subunit ribosomal RNA", at positions 8 to 916 of the family's 1533-position model. The record is from RNAcentral.
AGAGUUUGAUCAUGGCUCAGAUUGAACGCUGGCGGUAUGCUUAACACAUGCAAGUCGGGCGGCAGCGGGCCUUCGGGUGCCGGCGAGUGGCGGACGGGUGAGUAACGCGUAGGAAUCUGCCCCAUAGUGGGGGACAACGUGGGGAAACCCACGCUAAUACCGCAUACGCCCUACGGGGGAAAGCGGGGGACCUUCGGGCCUCGCGCUAUGGGAUGAGCCUGCGUUAGAUUAGCUAGUUGGUGGGGUAAGGGCCUACCAAGGCGACGAUCUAUAGCUGGUCUGAGAGGACGAUCAGCCACACUGGGACUGAGACACGGCCCAGACUCCUACGGGAGGCAGCAGUGGGGAAUAUUGGACAAUGGGCGCAAGCCUGAUCCAGCAAUACCGCGUGUGUGAAGAAGGCCCUAGGGUUGUAAAGCACUUUCAAUUGGGAGGAAAACCUGCCGGCCAAUACCCGGCAGCUUGACAUUACCUUUAGAAGAAGCACCGGCUAACUCCGUGCCAGCAGCCGCGGUAAUACGGAGGGUGCGAGCGUUAAUCGGAAUUACUGGGCGUAAAGCGUGCGUAGGCGGUUCGUUAAGUCAGAUGUGAAAGCCCUGGGCUCAACCUGGGAACUGCAUUUGGAACUGGCGGGCUAGAGUUUAGUAGAGGGGAGUGGAAUUUCAGGUGUAGCGGUGAAAUGCGUAGAUAUCUGAAGGAACACCAGUGGCGAAGGCGACUCCCUGGACUAGAACUGACGCUGAGGUACGAAAGCGUGGGUAGCAAACAGGAUUAGAUACCCUGGUAGUCCACGCCGUAAACGAUGUCGACUAGCCGUUGGCCCUAUUUACAGGGUUAGUGGCGCAGCUAACGCAUUAAGUCGACCGCCUGGGGAGUACGGCCGCAAGGUUAAAACUCAAAUGAAUUGACGG